GGCGCACGGGUGCGUAACGCGUGGGAAUCUGCCCUUGGGUUCGGGAUAACCGUUGGAAACGACGGCUAAUACCGGAUGAUGACGUAAGUCCAAAGAUUUAUCGCCCAGGGAUGAGCCCGCGUAGGAUUAGCUAGUUGGUGUGGUAAAGGCGCACCAAGGCGACGAUCCUUAGCUGGUCUGAGAGGAUGAUCCGCCACACUGGGACUGAGACACGGCCCAUACUCCUACGGGAGGCAGCAGUGGGGAAUAUUGGACAAUGGGCGCAAGCCUGAUCCGGCCAUGCCGCGUGUGUGAAGAAGGCCUUUUGGUUGUAAAGCACUUUAAGCGAGGAGGAGGCUACUGAGAUUAAUACUCUUGGAUAGUGGACGUUACUCGCAGAAUAAGCACCGGCUAACUCUGUGCCAGCAGCCGCGGUAAU
RNAcentral lists this ribosomal RNA (418 nucleotides) under uncultured bacterium. RNAcentral's name for it is "bacterial SSU rRNA". It matches the Rfam family "Bacterial small subunit ribosomal RNA", at positions 97 to 524 of the family's 1533-position model. The record is from RNAcentral.